RNAcentral lists this ribosomal RNA (253 nucleotides) under uncultured bacterium. RNAcentral describes it as "partial 16S ribosomal RNA". It matches the Rfam family "Bacterial small subunit ribosomal RNA", at positions 524 to 776 of the family's 1533-position model. The record is from RNAcentral.
UACAGAGGUCUCAAGCGUUGUUCGGAUUCAUUGGGCGUAAAGGGUGCGUAGGCGGCGCGGUAAGUCCUGUGUGAAAUCCCCCGGCUCAACUGGGGAACUGCACAGGAAACUAGCGGGCUUGAGUUCGGGAGAGGGAAGCGGAAUUCCGGGUGUAGCGGUGAAAUGCGUAGAUAUCCGGAGGAACACCGGUGGCGAAGGCGGCUUCCUGGACCGACACUGACGCUGAGGCGCGAAAGCUAGGGGAGCAAACGGG